Molecule: ribosomal RNA, 450 nt
Filed under: uncultured bacterium
Lineage: Bacteria
Description: partial 16S ribosomal RNA
Rfam family: Bacterial small subunit ribosomal RNA
Source: RNAcentral
CCUACGGGGGGCUGCAGUAAGGAAUAUUGGUCAAUGGACGCAAGUCUGAACCAGCCAUGCCGCGUGGAGGAUGAAGGUCCUCUGGAUUGUAAACUUCUUUUAUUUGGGAAGAAACUCCCGAUUUCCAUCGGGAUUGACGGUACCAGAUGAAUAAGCACCGGCUACCUCCGUGCCAGCAGCCGCGGUAAUACGGAGGUUGCAGGCUUCAUCCGGAUUCAAGGGUGCGUAGGGGGGCAGGGAAGGCCGGGUUGAAAUCUCCGGGCUUAACCCGGAAACUGCCAUUGAUACUAUUUGUCUUGAAUACUCUGGAGGUGAGCGGAAUAUGUCAUGUAGCGGUGAAAUGCUUAGAUAUGACAUAGAACACCCAUUGCGAAGGCAGAUCACUACGGAAAUAUUGACGCUGAGGCACGAAAGCGUGGGGAUCAAACAGGAUUAGAUACCCCUGUAGUC